Molecule: non-coding RNA, 555 nt
Organism: Aegilops tauschii subsp. strangulata
Lineage: Eukaryota; Viridiplantae; Streptophyta; Magnoliopsida; Poales; Poaceae
Source: RefSeq, a predicted model, not a curated record
AGAACCAUCGGAGCGAGUCUUAACCUUGUAGACCCACUUACAAGUGAUGGGACGGACUCCGGGAGGAAGAGAAACAAGAUCCCAGGUACCAGUGCGUUCAAGAGCAGCAAUCUCCUCUGCCAUCGCAAACUGCCAUUCAGGAUGAACAACAGCCUGACGGUAAGAAGUCGGCUCAAGAACAGCAGCACCAGCGGUGGGAAAUCCAAAGCGAUCAAUAGGCGGACGAGGACGAGAACGCAAGCCAUAAGUAGGCUGAGAGGAAGAGGACGACUCAUCCAAGGAAGCAUCCACAGGUCGUGAACGACGAGUGUAAUGCUGAGGCAAAGAUGGAAUAAGAGAAGGAGGAAUCGCCAAGGUAGAAUCGGGGGGUGGCGACGAAGAAGUCACCGGAGAUGAAGGUGUAGAAUCCAGUGACAUGCUAGGUGAGGAGACCGGGGAAGAUGGUGGCGGCGAAUCGAUGAGGGGUGGAGAAGCAGAGGGAGUGGAACGAAUAGGCACAGGCGCGACGGGGGUGAUAGGUGAGUCAGGAAAAGUGAGGAAAGAGAUAUCCUCCAC